This 8954-nucleotide long non-coding RNA is filed under the name Hordeum vulgare. RNAcentral describes it as "long non-coding RNA (HVUL_LNC005264)". The stretch from base 4033 to 4168 matches the Rfam family "MIR1120/MIR1122 microRNA precursor family". Lineage: Eukaryota; Viridiplantae; Streptophyta; Magnoliopsida; Poales; Poaceae. The record is from RNAcentral.
UNCGCGAUGGCCGGGAGAACGGUCGACGGCCGCCUCUGCCGUGCCGGAGGGCGCCGACCCUUAAGGUUGGUCUCGGGAAGCAGCGGCGCGUUCGCGAUCUGGGCGGCGUCGUGGACGCCGUCGUCCACGAUCGCCGAACCGGCCGGGGUCAUCGCUGCGCGCUAGCUAGCUAGGUGGGCUUGAUCGAGCUAAUUAAUGGUGGAUGAGAUGCAUGCAUACGGGCAUACGGCGAUGGAGCACUUUCUGCUUUGUGUGUUUCACGGAAAAAGUAUGAACUACUGGACCGAUCGAGAGAGCGAUACGGACGCCGUAGCCGGUCGAUAUUUAUAGACAGCCGAGCCUUGUAUGGAAGAGACAGGUGGUGCAGUGAGGCGAUGAUCUUUUUGAGCCCUUUGUUUCGGAAGGAAAACAUCGCUGCCGGAGGAGGCGGGAAAGAAAAGGAAGGAAACGGCUACCUCUUCCGUCCAGACGUACGCUGGGUAAACGGGGUCUAUGAGACCGGUCAUCAUGCACCGGCCAUCCGAAGCAAUAGGAGGAGGACGGGUCAGCGACCAGGACCCGGUUCAUGUGGGUCAUAGAAUCAACCUAGCGCGUUUGAUGUAAUAAGAGAGGACCUAACGGUCAUGCUCUUUCUCUACAAGGAUGUCAUGCUAUAUAUGCAAUCAGCGCCUAUCUAUCUAGAUGCAUGUUGUCACAAGUGCGAGAACACUGUGGGGUACACCGUGGGGUACGGUUUCCCUUAGGGAGUUUGGUGCUCAUUUCAUGUAAGCAUGCAUGAAGACCUACUUGUUUCGAGAUUUUUUAUUUCAAAAUGAUGCCACAAAGAACGUACUAUUACCAUGAGUCUUGCAGCUCUCUACGCGAUAAGCCCCCCUCCCCCCCCCCUAUGUGUGAUGAAUGUUGUAUUUUUCCAUUGACAAUCUUUUUUUUACUAUUGGGUCAUCUCGCCUCAUCAUAGUCACGUUGGUGCGUUCUUUUGUGCCGAUGUGAGAACGGGGCUUGACUGUGUGAUCGGUCACUCUUUGUGUGGUGAAAUCUUCUUCUUCAGGGCCUUGGUUCGGCGUGACCAUGGCCUUGACUCCUUCCGACCUCAACAAUGACAACCUAGAUCUUGUGAUGGGGAGGCUUAUGGUGAUGGGUCAUUGGCACGGUCAGGAAGAAUAAGACAGUCCACCCUAGGAACUUUGAUGCAAAAAUAAUCGAGGGGUGUAUGUACUGUUGAUUUAUAUAAUAGGCUGAGUGCCUUUCCGAAUUGAAAUGAUUAAGACACUACAAAAAUGGUGUCCAAUAAAUUACAAAAAACAUGGCAAUCACCAUGUCUAGAGUUUUAAUACCAAGAGAUAGUCAUAAAUAUGACAUGCAAAGGUGGAUUUUCUCCUUUAAGUGUGUCUAUAGUCCACUCUUAAGGAUGGUAUGCUAUUUGACCACCAUCAUAUCUGUUGCAUCUUUGUGUUUGAGCCGAACAACAUGAGCAAGAGGCACGAUGUCAAGUUUGUGAGAGCGACCAAGCCAUCACUGGGAGAAGUAAGGAAGAACCUUCUCCUUUCUUCCAACAGAGAAGCGAAGGAAGAAGCACGUGAGGUCAAUGACUCCAAUGCAAAGGUCCAGGAUGAGAGGUAUUGGACGGCCCGAGGCUUUUGACUUUAUAUUUGUACUUGUGUGUCAUGCUCUCCGGGGUAUCUUAUAAUUCAACCUAGAACUCAAGGAUUUAUCUCUGGUUUCGCUUUUUGGUACCCCGAAGAUAAAUCCACAGAUGGUCCACGACUCCAAUCCCUUGGAAUACCGAACUUCUCCUAGACCUCCAACCUUUAAUGCAACAUCAGGUUUGGUUGGGCCACCCCUUCAUGGAGAACCUAUAUAAAUUAUAUUUAGGUCCAGGUUCAGGGUUAGCAAAGCAUUUAGAUUAACCAACAAAAGGAGCUUUGCUCAUCUUAUCCUCCCUUUGAGAUCCAAGGUCUACUUACGAAAAUGUAUCCAAGACCAUCAUUUGAUGGUGAGGUAUGCUACUCAUGAUGGAGUUACUUGAUUUCCCUGAAAAGGAAAGGUGAUGUGGCACAACAACAGAAAGUAUUUUCCACAGUUAAGAAACAAGGUUUAUCAAACCACUAGAAAUCACUAAGCUACCAACGUUGGUAGUACAUGCACACAUACAAAUAAACCCCCCCCCCCCCCCUAACAAAUGUAAGGGGGUGUCGAUGUUCUUGCUAGCUACAAGAUCAAAAUCAAAUAGUGAUAGGGCAAAGCGACAAGAAAGUAAAACGAAGUAAAGAGAAAUUAUUGUAGAAGUUUUUGUCUUGAUGGAAAAUAUACCCGAGGGUCAUAGGUUCGCUAGUGGAAUCUCUCUCGAAAGCAUGUAGUGGCAUGGUAGAAAAAAUUUGUUGGGCAAUUUCUAGAAUAGCGAUAAUUAUAACUAUGAUCAUUCAUUGCCAUAUAGGCAUUAUGUUUGUGAUAAGUAGAUCGUUAAAUUUAUUAAUGUAUACUACUAUUACUCCAACUAAAGAGUGAAGACGGCUAUCUAGGAUGCAUCUCAAACUAUUAUUUUUACAAGAAACGGUGUGACACAAUAAGGAAGAUGACAUAAUGUAGACAGAAGAAAACCUAGCAAUAAAAUUAACCCCAUCGUUUUAUCCUUAGUGGCAACAACAUAAUACAAGCAUUUGUCCUUACUGUCACUAGACAAGAUCACCACAAGAUUGAAUCCACUACUAUGCACCACUCCAUCUUAAGAACUAUACAUCUAUCUUGGCCAAAGAAGACUCAUAGAUCGGAAAGCAUGCAUAGUUAUAAAAUUACAAAUCAAAGAAACUUCAAGAGAUUAAAUAAAUUAAAUAAACAAUCUAAUCAUGAAACUUCAAGAGAUUAAAGAAGACUCAUAGAUCGUAAGGGGGUGUCGAUGUUCUUGCUAGCUACAAGAUUAAAAUCAAAUAGUGAUAGGGCAAAGCGACAAGAAAGUAAAACGAAGUAAAGAGCAAUUAUUGUAGAAGUUUUUGUCUUGAUGGAAAAUAUACGCGAGGGUCAUAGGUUCGAUAGUGGAAUCUCUCUCGAAAGCAUGUAGUGGCAUGGUAGAAAAAAAUAUUGUUGGGCAAUUUCUGGAAUAGCGAUAAUUAUAACUAUGAUCAUUCAUUUCCAUAUAGGCAUUAUGUUUGUGAUAAGUAGACCAUUAAAUUUACUAAUGUCUACUACUAUUACUCCAACUAAAGAGUGAAGACGUCUAUCGAGGAUGCAUCUCAAACUAUUAUGUUUACAAGAAACAGUGUGACACAAUAAGGAAGAUGACAUAAUGUAGACAGAAGAAAACCUAGCAAUAAAAUUAACCCCAUCAUUUUAUCCUUAGUGGCAACAACACAAUACAAGCAUUUGUCCUUACUGUCACUAGACAAGAUCACCACAAGAUUGAAUCCACUACUAUGCACCACUCCAUCUUAAGAACUAUACAUCUAUCUCGGCCAAAGAAGACUCAUAGAUCGGAAAGCAUGCAUAAUUAUAAAAUUACACAUCAAAGAAACUUCAAGAGAUUAAAUAAAUUCAAUAAACAAUCUAAUGAAGAAUUCACAAUUCAUCAGAUCCCAACAAACACACCACAAGAAUUACAUCACAUGGAUCUCGAGAGAUAUCAUUGUAUUGAAGAUUAGGAUAGUUAUGUAUGAUGAGAUUGUUUAUAGAAUAGUGAUAAUUAUAACUAUGAUCAUUCAUCGCUACAUAGGUAUUAUGUUUGUGAUAAGUAGACCAGUAAAUUUACUAACGUCUACUACUAUUACUCAACCCGAAGACCGCUAUCCAGGAUCCAUCCCAAAGUAUUAUGUUUACAAAAAACAGAGUGACACAAUAAGGAAGAUGACAUAAUGUAGGCAGAAGAAAACCAAGCAAUAAAAUUAAUAUCAUCAUUUUAUCCUUAAUGGGAACAACAUAAUACACACAUUUGUCCUUUGUGUCAUUGAACAUGAUGACGACAAGAUUGAAUCCACUACUAUGCACCACUCCCUCUAAAGAACUACCCAUCUAUCUUGGCCAAAGAAGACUCAUAGAUCGAAAAUCAUACUCCCUCCGUCCCAAAAUUCUUGUCUUAGAUUUGUCUAGAUAUGAAUGUAUCUAGUGAGGUUUUAGUAUUUAGAUAGAUCCAUUUCUAGACAAACCUAAGACAAAAAUUUUGGGAUGGAGGGAGUACAUAGCUAUAAUAUUACACAUCAAAAAAACUUCAAGAGAUUCAAAUAAAUUGGAAAACAAUCUAAUCAUGAAUCCACAGUUCAUCGGAUCCCAACAAAUACACCACAAGAAUUAUAUCAAAUGGAUCUCCAAAGAUAUCAUUGUAUUGAAGAUCGAGAGAGGGAGAGAGAGGGGGGAGAGGGGGAGGGANNNNNNNNNNNNNNNNNNNNNNNNNNNNNNNNNNNNNNNNNNNNNNNNNNNNNNNNNNNNNNNNNNNNNNNNNNNNNNNNNNNNNNNNNNNNNNNNNNNNAUAUAUAAUUUAUAUUUAUACCUAUUCUAAUAAUAAAGAGACUAUCGCUUCCGUCGGAAAAUCCACCGAGGUGAUUUUAUAAAAAAGCCCUUACUGUUUAUGACAUUAAACUCGUAAUAUAUAUUAAAUAUUUUUUUAAAUACUCAUAUCUUUUAAACCGUAACUUCAAAUUUAACAUAUUAUACAUGGAAUUUGAUUAGAAAAAUAUGUAGAAUUUAAAUAUGAUAUUAUUUUAUCUGUUAAACGUUUAAUAAAAAUACUAUCUAGGGUGCAAUCUUAAUAAAUAAGUCAUUAUUCGUCCCCCCCCCCCCCCCUUCUUUCAUACCGGUACUCAUCCGGGUUGGGGAUGAACACGUCAACAAAAUCAGGAUUAGAGAUGAAACUGAAGGUCACUUGACUGAUUCUUUGUACGUAUUAAAUCUACAUGCAAGCCGUGUUAAAAUAGAAGACCUGUAAAAUUUUGAACUGCAUUUUUGUAGGAUAAGACCAUCUUUAUUUGUAUCGUAACUAUAAAUUCUCAAAUUAUAGACAUUUUUUAUAAAUUAAGAGCGUGUGCUGUGUGGUAUUUCUUUCUCCCGUUGCAACGCAUGGGCCCUUUUGCUAGUANNNNNNNNNNNNNNNNNNNNNNNNNNNNNNNNNNNNNNNNNNNNNNNNNNNNNNNNNNNNNNNNNNNNNNNNNNNNNNNNNNNNNNNNNNNNNNNNNNNNAAGUCCGAUCAUCACGUGAGUUGAGUAUAGUUUCAGUGGUAAGCAUCCUUAUGCUAAUCAUAUCAUCUAUAUGAUUCAUGAUCGACCUUUCGGUCUCAUGUGUUCCGAGGCCAUGUCUGCACAUGCUAGGCUCGUCAAGCUUAACCCGAGUGUUCCGCGUGCGCAACUGUUUUGCACCCGUUGUAUGUGAACGUUGAGUCUAUCACACCCGAUCAUCACGUGGUGUCUCGAAACGACGAACUGUAGCAACGGUGCACAGUCGGGGAGAACACAAUUUCGUCUUGAAAUUUUAGUGAGAGAUCACCUCAUAAUGCUACCGUCGUUCUAAGCAAAAUAAGGUGCAUAAAAGGAUUAACAUCACAUGCAAUUCAUAAGUGACAUGAUAUGGCCAUCAUCACGUGCUUCUUGAUCUCCAUCACCAAAGCACCGGCACGAUCUUCUUGUCACCGGCGCCACACCAUGAUCUCCAUCAACGUGUUGCCAUCGGGGUUGUCGUGCUACUCAUGCUAUUACUACUAAAGCUACAUCCUAGCAAAAUAGUAAACGCAUCUGCAAGCACACACGUUAGUAUAAAGACAACCCUAUGGCUCCUGCCGGUUGCCGUACCAUCGACGUGCAAGUCGAUAUUUCUAUUACAACAUGAUCAUCUCAUACAUCCAAUAUAUCACAUCACAUCAUUGGCCAUAUCACAUCACAAGCAUACCCUGCAAAAACAAGUUAGACGUCCUCUAAUUUUGUUGUUGCAUGUUUUACGUGGUGACCAUGGGUAUCUAGUAGGAUCGCAUCUUACUUACGCAAACACCACAACGGAGAUAUAUGAGUUGCUAUUUAACCUCAUCCAAGGACCUCCUCGGUCAAAUCCGAUUCAACUAAAGUUGGAGAAACCGACACUUGCCAGUCAUCUUUGAGCAACGGAGUUACUCGUAACGAUGAAACCAGUCUCUCGUAAGCGUACGAGUAAUGUCGGUCCAAGCCGCUUCAAUCCAACAAUACCGCGGAAUCAAGAAAAGACUAAGGAGGGCAGCAAAACGCACAUCACCGCCCACAAAAACUUUUGUGUUCUACUCGAGAAGACAUCUACGCAUGAACCUAGCUCAUGAUGCCACUGUUGGGGAACGUCGCAUGGGAAACAAAAAAUUUCCUACGCGCACGAAGACCUAUCAUGGUGAUGUCCAUCUACGAGAGGGGAUGAGUGAUCUACGUACCCUUGUAGAUCGUACAGCAGAAGUGUUAGUGAACACGGUUGAUGUAGUGGAACGUCCUCACGUCCCUCGAUCCGCCCCGCGAACAAUCCCGCGAUCAGUCCCACGAUCUAGUACCGAACGGACGGCACCUCCGCGUUCAGCACACGUACAACUCGACGAUGAUCUCGGCCUUCUUGAUCCAGCAAGAGAGACGGAGAGGUAGAAGAGUUCUCCGGCAGCGUGACGGCGCUCCGGAGGUUGGUGAUGACCUUGUCUCAGCAGGGCUCCGCCCGAGCUCCGCAGAAACGCGAUCUAGAGGAAAAACCGUGGAGGUAUGUGGUCGGGCUGCCGUGGAAAAGUCGUCUCAAAUCAGCCCUAAAACCUCUGUAUAUAUAGGUGGGAGAGGGGGGACCUUGCCUUGGGGCUCAAGGAGCCCCAAGGGGGUCGGCCGAGUCCAAGGGGGGAGGACUCCCCCCCCAAACCGAGUUGGACUUGGUUUGGUGGGAGGGAGUCCCCCUUCCUUCCCACCUCCUCCUUUUUUUUCCUUUUCUCUUGAUUUUCUCUUCUUGGCGCAUAGAGCCCUUUUGGGCUGUCCCACCAGCCCACUAAGGGCUGGUGUGCCACCCUCAAGGCCUAUGGGCUUCCCCGGGGUGGGUUGCCCCCCCACCGUGAACUCCCGGAACCCAUUCGUCAUUCCCGGUACAUUCCCGGUAACUCCGAAAACCUUCCGGUAAUCAAAUGAGGUCAUCCUAUAUAUCAAUCUUCGUUUCCAGACUAUUCCGGAAACCCUUGUGACGUCCGUGAUCUCAUCCGGGACUCCGAACAACAUUCGGUAACCAACCAUAUAACUCAAAUACGCAUAAAACAACGUCGAACCUUAAGUGUGCAGACCCUGCGGGUUCGAGAACUAUGUAGACAUGACCCGAGAGACUCCUCGGUCAAUAUCCAAUAGCGGGACCUGGAUGCCCAUAUUGGAUCCUACAUAUUCUACGAAGAUCUUAUCGUUUGAACCUCAGUGCCAAGGAUUCAUAUAAUCCCGUAUGUCAUUCCCUUUGUCCUUCGGUAUGUUACUUGCCCGAGAUUCGAUCGUNAAACAACGUCGAACCUUAAGUGUGCAGACCCUGCGGGUUCGAGAACUAUGUAGACAUGACCCGAGAGACUCCUCGGUCAAUAUCCAAUAGCGGGACCUGGAUGCCCAUAUUGGAUCCUACAUAUUCUACGAAGAUCUUAUCGUUUGAACCUCAGUGCCAAGGAUUCAUAUAAUCCCGUAUGUCAUUCCCUUUGUCCUUCGGUAUGUUACUUGCCCGAGAUUCGAUCGUCAGUAUCCGAAUACCUAUUUCAAUCUCGUUUAACGGCAAGUCUCUUUACUCGUUCCGUAAUACAAGAUCCCGCAACUUACACUAAGUUACAUUGCUUGCAAGGCUUGUGUGUGAUGUUGUAUUACCGAGUGGGCCCCGAGAUACCUCCCCGUUCACACGGAGUGACAAAUCCCAGUCUUGAUCCAUACUAACUCAACUAACACCUUCGGAGAUACCUGUAGAGCAUAUUUAUAGUCACCCAGGUUCGUUGCGACGUUUGAUACACACAAAGAAUUCCUCCGGUGUCAGUGAGUUAUAUGAUCUCAUGGUCACAGGAAUAAAUACUUGACACGCAGAAAACAGUAGCAACAAAAUGACACGAUCAACAUGCUACGUCUAUNNNNNNNNNNNNNNNNNNNNNNNNNNNNNNNNNNNNNNNNNNNNNNNNNNNNNNNNNNNNNNNNNNNNNNNNNNNNNNNNNNNNNNNNNNNNNNNNNNNNGGAUCACAUCAUUGGGAGAAUGAUGUGGUGGACAAGACCCAAUCCUAAGCCUAGCACUAGAUCGUAUUGUUCGUAUGCUGAUGCUUUUCUAAUGUCAAGUAUCUUUUCCUUCGACCGUGAGAUUGUGCAACUCCCGGAUACCGUAGGAGUGCUUUGGGUGUAUCAAACGUCACAACGUAAUUGGGUGACUAUAAAGGUUCACUACGGGUACCUCCGAAAGUGUCUGUUGGGUUGGCACGAAUCGAGAUCGGGAUUUGUCACUCCGUGUGACGGAGAGGUAUCUCUGGGCCCACUCGGUAGAACAUCAUCAUGAGCUCAAUGUGACUAAGGAGUUAGUCACACGAUGACGUGCUACGGAACGAGUAAAGAGACUUACCGGUAACGAGAUUGAACAAGGUAUAGGCAUACCGACGAUCGAAUCUCGGGCAAGUUCUAUACCGACAGACAAAGGGAAUCGUAUACGGGAUUGAUUGAAUCCUUGACAUCGUGGUUCAUCCGAUGAGAUCAUCGUGGAGCUAGUGGGAGCCACCAUGGGUAUCCAGACCCCGAUGAUGGUUAUUGGCCAGAGAGGUGUCUCGGUCAUGUCUGCCUGUCUCCCGAACCCGUAGGGUCUACACACUUAAGGUUCGAUGACGCUAGGGUUAUAGGGAAUUGUUAUACGAGAUUACCGAAAGUUGUUCGGAGUCCCGGAUGAGAUCCCGGACGUCACGAGGAGCUCCGGAAUGGUCCGGAGGUAAAGAUUGAUAUAUAGGACGGAUGGUUUCGGACACCGGAAGUGUUUCGGGCAUCACCGGUAACGUACCGGGACCACCG